GACGAACGCUGGCGGCGUGCCUAAUACAUGCAAGUAGAACGCUGAAGAGAGGAGCUUGCUCUUCUUGGAUGAGUUGCGAACGGGUGAGUAACGCGUAGGUAACCUGCCUUGUAGCGGGGGAUAACUAUUGGAAACGAUAGCUAAUACCGCAUAACAAUGGAUGACACAUGUCAUUUAUUUGAAAGGGGCAAUUGCUCCACUACAAGAUGGACCUGCGUUGUAUUAGCUAGUAGGUGAGGUAAUGGCUCACCUAGGCGACGAUACAUAGCCGACCUGAGAGGGUGAUCGGCCACACUGGGACUGAGACACGGCCCAGACUCCUACGGGAGGCAGCAGUAGGGAAUCUUCGGCAAUGGGGGCAACCCUGACCGAGCAACGCCGCGUGAGUGAAGAAGGGUUUCGGAUCGUAAAGCUCUGUUGUAAGUCAAGAACGGGUGUGGGAGUGGAAAGUUCACACUGUGACGGUAGCUUACCAGAAAGGGACGGCUAACUACGUG
RNAcentral lists this ribosomal RNA (497 nucleotides) under uncultured bacterium. RNAcentral describes it as "partial 16S ribosomal RNA". It matches the Rfam family "Bacterial small subunit ribosomal RNA", at positions 28 to 507 of the family's 1533-position model. The record is from RNAcentral.